GAUGAACGCUGGCGGCGUGCCUAAUACAUGCAAGUCGAGCGAACAGAUGAGAAGCUUGCUUCUCUGAUGUUAGCGGCGGACGGGUGAGUAACACGUGGGUAACCUACCUAUAAGACUGGGAUAACUCCGGGAAACCGGGGCUAAUACCGGAUAAUAUUUUGAACCGCAUGGUUCAAUAGUGAAAGACGGUUUCGGCUGUCACUUAUAGAUGGACCCGCGCCGUAUUAGCUAGUUGGUAAGGUAACGGCUUACCAAGGCGACGAUACGUAGCCGACCUGAGAGGGUGAUCGGCCACAAUGGAACUGAGACCCGGUCCAGACUCCUACGGGAGGCAGCAGUAGGGAAUCUUCCGCAAUGGGCGAAAGCCUGACGGAGCAACGCCGCGUGAGUGAUGAAGGUCUUCGGAUCGUAAAACUCUGUUGUUAGGGAAGAACAAAUUUGUUAGUAACUGAACAAGUCUUGACGGUACCUAACCAGAAAGCCACGGCUAACUACGUGCCAGCAGCCGCAGUAA
This 514-nucleotide ribosomal RNA is filed under the name uncultured bacterium. RNAcentral describes it as "partial 16S ribosomal RNA". It matches the Rfam family "Bacterial small subunit ribosomal RNA", at positions 28 to 523 of the family's 1533-position model. The record is from RNAcentral.